AUUGAUUUGGUUCGUUCCAGAGUUUUCGGUAGGUAGAGCCAGAGCGUCUCGAGCCAACAGCAGCAGCAUAGCCGAGUGAAGAUGGCGGCUCAGAGAGUGAUGCUGUCAACGAGAGUUUGAGUUCACCUCUCCUUUUUAAACUUAUGAAACCUUCGCGGAUCCUUGCGGAUAGCUGUAUCAAAGAAAACUAUAUUGGUUGCUGCUCCGGACCAUUUGACAAUGGAAACUCAUGUUCUUCCAGAGCCUCUUCAUUUCACAGGUCACACUGUACCUCUGUCAUUGUGAGAAAUUCAGUCUCAGGUCUUUGGCUCUGCUGA
Molecule: long non-coding RNA, 317 nt
Filed under: Sinocyclocheilus grahami
Lineage: Eukaryota; Metazoa; Chordata; Actinopteri; Cypriniformes; Cyprinidae
Description: lncRNA (ENSSGRG00000044154.1)
Source: RNAcentral